AUUGAACGCUGGCGGCAUGCCUUACACAUGCAAGUCGAACGGCAGCACGGGAGCAAUCCUGGUGGCGAGUGGCGAACGGGUGAGUAAAAUAUCGGAACGUGCCCAGUCGUGGGGGAUAACGUAGCGAAAGUUACGCUAAUACCGCAUACGAUCUAUGGAUGAAAGCGGGGGAUCGCAAGACCUCGCGCGAUUGGAGCGGCCGAUAUCAGAUUAGGUAGUUGGUGGGGUAAAGGCUCACCAAGCCGACGAUCUGUAGCUGGUCUGAGAGGACGACCUGCCAGCCUGGGACGGAGACACGGCCCAGACUCCUACGGGGGGCAGCAGUGGGGAAUUUUGGACAAUGGGCGAAAGCCUGAUCCAGCCAUGCCGCGUGCAGGAUGAAGGCCUUCGGGUUGUAAACUGCUUUUGUACGGAACGAAAAGGUUUGGCCUAAUAAGCUGAGCUCAUGACGGUACCGUAAGAAUAAGCACCGGCUAACUACGUGCCAGCAGCCGCGGUAA
This 500-nucleotide ribosomal RNA is filed under the name uncultured bacterium. RNAcentral describes it as "partial 16S ribosomal RNA". It matches the Rfam family "Bacterial small subunit ribosomal RNA", at positions 30 to 523 of the family's 1533-position model. The record is from RNAcentral.